This 73-nucleotide transfer RNA is filed under the name Amoebidium parasiticum. RNAcentral's name for it is "tRNA-Pro". It matches the Rfam family "tRNA". Rfam says of the family: Transfer RNA (tRNA) molecules are approximately 80 nucleotides in length. Their secondary structure includes four short double-helical elements and three loops (D, anti-codon, and T loops). The record is from RNAcentral. Lineage: Eukaryota; Ichthyosporea; Ichthyophonida; Amoebidiaceae.
CAGAAAAUAGCUCAAUUGGUAGAGCACUCGUUUUGGGAACGAGAGGCUAUAGGUUCAAGUCCUAUUUUUCUGA